AGAGUUUGAUCAUGGCUCAGAACGAACGCUGGCGGCAGGCCUAACACAUGCAAGUUGAACGGGAUUUGUAUGGUGCUUGCACCAUGUAAUGAGAGUAGCGCACUGGUGAGUAACACGUGGGAACAUACCUUGAAGUGGGGGACAACAGUUGGAAACGACUGCUAAUACCGCAUAAUCCCUGAGGGGGAAAGAUUUAUCGCUUUAAGGAUUGGCCCGCGGAAGAUUAGGUAGUUGGUGGGGUAAAGGCCUACCAA
Molecule: ribosomal RNA, 254 nt
Filed under: uncultured bacterium
Lineage: Bacteria
Description: partial 16S ribosomal RNA
Rfam family: Bacterial small subunit ribosomal RNA
Source: RNAcentral